GCUGGGUGUGGUGGUGCACAUCUCUAAUCCUAGCAGCUCUGGAGGCUGAGGCAGGAGGAUCAUGAGUUCAAAGCCGGCCUCGACAAUGGCAAGGUACUAAGCAAAUCAGUGAGACUCAGUCUCUA
This 125-nucleotide small RNA is filed under the name Marmota monax (woodchuck). The record is from RNAcentral. Lineage: Eukaryota; Metazoa; Chordata; Mammalia; Rodentia; Sciuridae.